UCGAGAAUCUUCGGCAAUGAGCGCAAGCUUGACCGAGCGACGCCGCGUGCGGGAUGAAGGCCUUCGGGUUGUAAACCGCGAAAGUAGGGAGGAAAUCGCUGGGGGUUCUCCCCCAGUGUUGACCUAUCUUCAGUAAGGACGGGCUAAGUUCGUGCCAGCAGUCCGCGGUAGUACGAACCGUUCCAAACGUUAUUCGGAUUUAUUGGGCUUAAAGGGGUAUGUAGGCGGCCCUUUCAAGUCGGGUGUGAAAGCCCUCGGCUCAACCGAGGAACUGCGCCCGAUACUGUGGGGCUCGAGGGAGACAGACGGUAAGCGGAACUGAUGGUGGAGCGGUGAAAUGCGUUGAUAUCAUCAGGAACACCAGUGGCGAAAGCGGCUUACUGGGUCUCUUCUGUACGCUGAGAUACGAAAGCUAGGGAGCGAACGGGAUUAGAUACCCGGUAGUCCUAGCUGUAAACGAUGAGUCACUUGAUCGAGGGCCCCCA
RNAcentral lists this ribosomal RNA (485 nucleotides) under uncultured Planctomycetota bacterium. Its description in RNAcentral is "bacterial SSU rRNA". It matches the Rfam family "Bacterial small subunit ribosomal RNA", at positions 355 to 833 of the family's 1533-position model. The record is from RNAcentral. Lineage: Bacteria; Pseudomonadati; Planctomycetota.